UACAGAGGUCUCAACCGUUGUUCGGAUUCAUUGGGCGUAAAGGGUGCGUAGGCGGUCGCGUAAGUCAGGUGUGAAAUCCCGGGGCUCAACCCCGGAACUGCACUUGAUACUGCGUGGCUAGGGUACUGGAGAGGAGACUGGAAUUUACGGUGUAGCAGUGAAAUGCGUGGAUAUCGUGAGGAACACUAGUGGCGAAGGCGGAUGUCUGGACAGUAUCUGACGCUGAGGCACGAAGGCCAGGGGAGCGAACGGG
Molecule: ribosomal RNA, 253 nt
Filed under: uncultured bacterium
Lineage: Bacteria
Description: partial 16S ribosomal RNA
Rfam family: Bacterial small subunit ribosomal RNA
Source: RNAcentral